AGCGAGUCUGGUUUGUAGACACAAGACUUAUGAUAUAAUAACGAAAUAAUUAAUUCAGUGCUACAAGGCUAAUACAAGUAAGUGAGUGUUCCGUCUUUAAGCAUUGUCAAUGAAAUGCUUAAUGCGUUUGGGGUUGGAGCAGAAGUAUCAACCUCGUUUGAUUUGGCGAUUUUGUAACCGGUCGACGCGGAUGUUUUGAAAACGAAAACAGCAAAAGUUUCGAUGUUGGAGAUCGGGGCGUAAGAAAGAAGCCCAUUUGGUGAUCCACGAAUGACACUGCAGGAAAAGCAUGGAAAACAUGCGCCAUGUUGUUGAGACACAACGUUGGAUUGUAAACUUCCUUCCACCUUCAACGAACAUAAGACUAAGAUCCAACACAAGAUUGGUGCGAACUAAGUUAAAAGUCAUAUUUAUAAAUGAUGCAUUCUUCGAACAGGGUAAAUUCACACACUCGAAAAGACUGAAAUAAAUUGCCAAGACUUAAUUAUAUCAGCCUCAUUAACUUUGUCCAGCAUUAAAUGUUGAAAUAAUGACGAGCAAUGAAAAUGCUUGCUCGUUGGUACAUUUGUGAAAAUGAUGCAAAUCGGCUGUUGAGAUUUCAACUUCUAUUUAUUUAUUCCUUUUUAUGUAAUUUCAUUAGAAACUUUAGGUACCAGUUAAGCGCUUAAAAUAACAUAUUUGUGGAAAAUAACUGAUUUUUUUUUUUAGGUUUGUAUGCUCGUUUUAAAUUAUAGCGUGCGCAAAUUGAUUAAUGUCGACAUUUGGGCUCCACCUCGAGCUGGACCUAAUCAUAAAUAAAACUACUGCAGAUUGAAACAUGUUCGAGUGUCUCAAGUUUGACUCUCAGCUACGAUUCAUAAGUACACAGUGACAGGCUUCUGUAAACAGUACAUUCGAUGGAAACUAUUUUUAGUUAGGAAUAUACUUCGCGACUUCCUCUCGACCUCCUUGUGUAAUUUACAACAUCUAUGAGAGGAUAAAGGAUUUGUUACUCAGAGAUGUGACAGUAGAGAAAUUCGAGCUCGUUAUGUCAUUUCCUAAGAAUUUGGUCAAAUAAAAGGAAACAUUUUUACUUACAAGACAAGUUUAGUCACAGGCAUAAUUACUGAAUGAUGUAAUACAUCAUAAAGUGGGUUUUGGCAGUGGCAAGUUUAUUGUUUUACGUGGCUCUUGGUCGUCUUUUGUGGUCGAAUUGUGAUUUUGAGUGUGAUUUAACGUACGAGAAAAACCGGAAAACUCAGAAAAACCUUUGGAGCGAGGAAGCAAACUCACAACAACAAACUCAUUAGCUUGUAUAGCUGGUGGUAUUUUGGAUUCUCGAACCUCUCGUGGCUUCGCCGCUCGAUUUGCAGCUCCGGCACUCAACGCUUCAUAGCGCACACAAAACCGCUAACUAUACGUGGGCUGCAUCAUGAGACAAGGUUCAAACUGUGGCUACAAGAUCCCUUCAAAGCGCACACAAAACUGCUGACAAUACGUAGGCUACAUCAUGAGGCAAGGUUCAAACCUUGGUUUCAAAGAUGGGGGUCGGAACGCUCCCUGCUGGCUGCUGCUAUCCAAUAAAUCACAACUUGCACCCUGGAUCGAAUGGUACAGCUGCCAUGCUUUGUUUCUCACACUAGUUUCCCUUCCACCGAGCAAUGGUUGGGCAAAAAAACACAAUUUUAGUUGAACAUAGAAUGAUAUCAAUAGUCAAAAAUUUAUUAUCUCAAUAGAGCAGUGGUAAAAAGUUUCUUAGAGAUUGGGCGAAUUAGGUUCCCAAAUAUGCAUGUAAAUCGCUUCUUAACCCUCUUUCUUGGCCGAACGUGGCAUUACUUCAUGCAUAAAAAAAGCCUUUUCCUAGAAUAGUGUUUUCUAAGGCGCGAAUCAUUUCCUUAGGCUGCGUUAAAGUUUGCGUUACUUGUCUUACAAAUCGAUGUCAACGAUAUGCUGGGGCAUAAUAGAAAUCUGCCAAAAAUGUGGAAACUGCCACAUUGAGCCCCGACAAUCUUUGAAAAUUGUGGCAGAAAAUUCGUAAAAAUAAAGCGAAUUUUGAAUAACGACCUUCAAAAAUAAGUCCUCGACACCCCUAUUCUCCCUUUCAAAAUCAGAUAUUGCUCAAAUUUGCAAAUUGUUCAUUCAAUUUUGCAAAGAUACAGAGAGAGACAAAAGUCAUAAAUGACUGAAACAUUUUCCAAUCCUACGUAGUGAUCAAGGUUGUGGCUUUUCACCAAGGAAUUCUUGACUGAACAGAAAAGCGUUAAAAUCUGUAGUUGAAGUCCGCACCCUGAGUCAGAAUCGCCGUGAAUGCUACAUGGAACCUAUACCGCUUUCUCUUGGACAGCAGUUAUUAUUACUCCUUAUCAUGUCGGUCUAUCAUGGGCUAUCUUCGCUCUUACGUCUUCCUACGUUUUCCUGGCAAGUUUUUGGUGUCCCUUACAUGAUCCUGGUUAUAGAGAGGCACACGCACUGCGAGAGUUAAGAGGCCCACGAGUCUCACACAAAGAUUACAAACAGGACAAAAUUGACGAUAUCUCGAACGCGCAAACUUUAGGACUAUGCUUACCUAUUGACCAGAUAUAGACAUGCAUAGAAACUUCAAGUAUUCUAUCAGCUAAAUUGGGACUAAAGCUAUUACACGCUGACAAUGUUUAAGAAGGCUAAUAUAGAGUUGUGAAAGAAAUUUCCCGGUUUUCUAGAAUCGAUUUUUAUGGAUUUAGAAUGUUAUUUGGAAAACGUGGUUUUUACAUCAUUGCAAAAAAUAUCUCGGUAAUUUCUUCGAGAUUUUACCGAGGUAUCUGUUUGGAUAAAACCCUCUUUAUGUUGAUAAUCUAAAUGUAUUGAUAAAAUAUGAGCUUCCGAGUAGAUAGAAAAUCAUUAAAAAACAAGUUAUUUAGAAAUAUUUUAACCUAAAUUACUUAAAGUGAUAGUUGUUUUUCAGCUCGCAGUUCUUCAGAGCAUGAAAUUAUAAUAUCAGUUUGUGCCUUUUGUUCGCUUAACGCACCAAAGUCCUUCUAUACCGGAAACCGAACAUUUUAAAAAUGCGUAAGAAAGUUUCCGUUGGAUUCUGGAUUUUUUGCCGAUAGAUACCUUGAAAUUAAAAUUAAAGAGGAAAACUGUCAUAUCGUCAUUGCUCCUGGUAAAUAGAGGAACUUACGACAAAGUGUUCGUGUUGUAAUUUAACUUUCUGUUAAAUACCUAAAAUUCCUCUUGUCUAGUUCAUUGAAAUCUCGACAAUUCGGUUUGGCCAAAGGAAGAGACACUGUGGGAACAUUAAACCAUAAAAAAACGUCAGCAUCAUUUGUUUUAUAAAUAGUGGAGUAGGGUAUUGUUGCACAGAAUUCGCGAGAAUAAUAACAAAACCUCUCAAACAUAACAAUAGUGGAUCCUUGGUAGAUGACUCUCAUUUCAAAGUUAAUGUUUUAGGCAAUUUUGAAAGUCUUAUUACACUUUUGUGACCAACAAAGACCUUGCAUCACGACAUCAAAAUACCGUUGAAAAUUCUUCAAUACAAUAGAUAAAACAGUAACUUAGUUCAAAAAGAAGCCCAAUGAAAGAAGUUUCCCCGUAAAAUCGCAUUAUCAUGUUCAGCCAACGUAGCCAACCCUGAAUUACCAAGAUCAUUUGACUAUCCAUGAUAUGACUUCAAACGCUAUGAAUGAAUCUCGGCUAUGUGGUUGCAGCACAGUAUGCCAUCGGCGUAAAAACGACAGCCAUGGGUUACCGCCAUGAUAAAAGGCUUCCAAAUUGCAUUUUUCGAAUUUUCCAUUCAUCAUUCUUAUAAACGGUUUAUGUCUAGUUGUGAUCCGAAGAGUGUCCUUUUAAGAGUUAAUGUGCAAAUGCAAGUGCCCUUCAGCAGGCGGGAUGUGUAAUUAAGAUAGAAUUGCUAUUUUGUUCAGUAGCCUCUCGACUUAGUGGCUAUCAUUCCGCUUGUCAAAACGCUCGAACUGUUCGUUAUGGGUCAUUAAAUAUUCCUUAACAACCACUCCAUUAUUUGUCUGCAUUUUCUUACUGAGCUGAGCGCCACGGGGUGUAACAAGACUGAAAGAAACAUCACUGUAGGCCCAAGUUUUUAGGACAACUGUUUGUUUAUGUUACAAUCGAGGUUGUUUGGCUAUUCGAGGCGAGAAGUUUAUAGGAGUUUCCAGGCGCCCUGAGGCGUUGUUGUCCAAGAACAGCUUGGAUUCAAAUGAAUGGAUACUUCAAGCUUGCCAUGUCAUUGGAUCAUUCUAUUUCGAGGAAUGGGGGCGUGAUCAUUCCAAUCCAUAUUUGAGUCAUUAACUAAGUAUUUGAUUUAUCUUAUAAGUGAGUAGGUAUAAAAGACCGCUGCAAGAAGCAUCGUGAGACACAUUUGCAUAGACACGCUGAGAGAAAGAUGAAAACAUCAACAGUGCUGACGAUUUCUUUUGUAUUAUUCCUCGUCCUGGCUACCCUCUGCAGAAACAGUGAGGGGUUUGCUUUAUCACUUACUGCAAGAAGAGAUGAACUUAAGAGGGACAAAAAAAAGCAAGCAUCGGAUGGCGUCAGGCUGAGAAGAAAGCUUAAGAGACUGAAGAACAAAGAACUGGAGCUGGAAAGAAAAGUAUCAGAGUUAUCGAAGUGGGUUCAAAAAUACAAAACAACGCACAGAUCUAAGUCGAAACAAGGCAGAUUUUCUGGAGCAGAUUCUUGGUGAAAUUUAUGAACUCAGAGGAUGACAAUGUUUACUCUUGCGAGGAACUGAAAAAUAGAGUGCCAGCUCAAGAAAGAUCUGGAUAAAAUGUUAUUUAUUAGUGGGACGCUUUUCGAAAAAAGGAAGAGUCUUGCAUCAUCAGAAUGUUAUUUAUUUGUACACGGAAAAAGUGAAGUUAUACAAUAAUUAUCUAUUUAUAAUAAAUACAUCUUUUGAUAUUCGUUCAA
This is a long non-coding RNA of Pocillopora damicornis (cauliflower coral), 4878 nucleotides long. RefSeq lists it as uncharacterized. The record is from RefSeq and is a predicted model, not a curated record. NCBI's taxonomy places the organism in Eukaryota, Metazoa, Cnidaria, Anthozoa, Scleractinia, Pocilloporidae.